This 253-nucleotide ribosomal RNA is filed under the name Dorea longicatena. RNAcentral describes it as "partial 16S ribosomal RNA". It matches the Rfam family "Bacterial small subunit ribosomal RNA", at positions 524 to 776 of the family's 1533-position model. Lineage: Bacteria; Bacillati; Bacillota; Clostridia; Lachnospirales; Lachnospiraceae. The record is from RNAcentral.
UACGUAGGGGGCAAGCGUUAUCCGGAUUUACUGGGUGUAAAGGGAGCGUAGACGGCACGGCAAGCCAGAUGUGAAAGCCCGGGGCUCAACCCCGGGACUGCAUUUGGAACUGCUGAGCUAGAGUGUCGGAGAGGCAAGUGGAAUUCCUAGUGUAGCGGUGAAAUGCGUAGAUAUUAGGAGGAACACCAGUGGCGAAGGCGGCUUGCUGGACGAUGACUAACGUUGAGGCUCGAAAGCGUGGGGAGCAAACAGG